RNAcentral lists this ribosomal RNA (505 nucleotides) under uncultured bacterium. Its description in RNAcentral is "bacterial SSU rRNA". It matches the Rfam family "Bacterial small subunit ribosomal RNA", at positions 9 to 528 of the family's 1533-position model. The record is from RNAcentral.
GAGUUUGAUCCUGGCUCAGGAUGAACGCUGGCGGCGUGCUUAAGACAUGCAAGUCGAACGGAAAGUUUGUAGCAAUACGAGCUUUGAGUGGCGAAUGGGUGCGUAACACGUAGGUGACCUGCCCUGAAGUGUGGAAUAACAGUCCGAAAGGAUUGCUAAUACCGCAUGUGGUUCCGGAGGUUUGAGGCUCCGGAUCUAAAGCCGAAAGGUGCUUCAGGAGGGGCCUGCGGUCCAUCAGCUAGUUGGUGAGGUAAUGGCUCACCAAGGCGACGACGGAUAGGGGACCUGAGAGGGUGGCCCCCCACAUUGGCACUGACACACGGGCCAAACUCCUACGGGAGGCAGCAGUCGGGAAUAUUGGGCAAUGGGCGAAAGCCUGACCCAGCAACGCCGCGUGCACGAUGAAGGCCUUCGGGUCGUAAAGUGCUUUUUGGGAGGAUGAGGAAGGACAGUACUCCCAGAAUAAGUCACGGCUAACUACGUGCCAGCAGCCGCGGUAAUCCCC